Molecule: ribosomal RNA, 305 nt
Filed under: uncultured bacterium
Lineage: Bacteria
Description: bacterial SSU rRNA
Rfam family: Bacterial small subunit ribosomal RNA
Source: RNAcentral
GUUUCCUACGGGAGGCAGCAGUGGGGAAUAUUGGACAAUGGGGGGAACCCUGAUCCAGCGACGCCGCGUGAGUGAAGAAGUAUUUCGGUAUGUAAAGCUCUAUCAGCAGGGAAGAAAGAAAUGACGGUACCUGACUAAGAAGACCCGGCUAACUACGUGCCAGCAGCCGCGGUAAUACGUAGGGGGCAAGCGUUAUCCGGAUUUACUGGGUGUAAAGGGAGCGUAGACGGUUACGCAAGUCUGGAGUGAAAGGCGGGGGCCCAAGCCCCGGACUGCUUUGGAAAAUGUAUAACUGGGGGGCAGGG